Non-coding RNA from Notechis scutatus (mainland tiger snake), 82 nucleotides. The record is from RefSeq and is a predicted model, not a curated record. NCBI's taxonomy places the organism in Eukaryota, Metazoa, Chordata, Lepidosauria, Squamata, Elapidae.
CUCAGAUAGCUAGGCUGAGAUUGGCAAAUUGCCUGGAACGUUAUCUGUAAAGGUGGCUCAGUUCCCAGGUUCAGCCCGCCUG